RNAcentral lists this ribosomal RNA (251 nucleotides) under uncultured bacterium. RNAcentral's name for it is "partial 16S ribosomal RNA". It matches the Rfam family "Bacterial small subunit ribosomal RNA", at positions 524 to 776 of the family's 1533-position model. The record is from RNAcentral.
UACGAAGGGGGCUAGCGUUGUUCGGAUUUACUGGGCGUAAAGCGCACGUAGGCGGAUCGUUAAGUCGGGGGUGAAAUCCUGGAGCUCAACUCCAGAACUGCCUUCGAUACUGGCGCUCUUGAGUCCGGAAGAGGUGAGUGGAACUCCUAGUGUAGAGGUGGAAUUCGUAGAUAUUAGGAAGAACACAGUGGCGAAGGCGCUCACUGGUCCGGUACUGACGCUGAGGUGCGAAAGCGUGGGGAGCAAACAGG